UACAGAGGUCUCAAGCGUUGUUCGGAUUUACUGGGCGUAAAGGGCGCGUAGGCGGUCAGCACAAGUCAGUUGUGAAAUCUCCGGGCUUAACUCGGAAAGGUCAACUGAUACUGUGCGACUAGAGUGCGGAAGGGGCAACUGGAAUUCUCGGUGUAGCGGUGAAAUGCGUAGAUAUCGAGAGGAACACCUGCGGCGAAGGCGGGUUGCUGGGCUGACACUGACGCUGAUGCGCGAAAGCCAGGGGAGCGAACGGG
RNAcentral lists this ribosomal RNA (254 nucleotides) under uncultured bacterium. RNAcentral describes it as "partial 16S ribosomal RNA". It matches the Rfam family "Bacterial small subunit ribosomal RNA", at positions 524 to 776 of the family's 1533-position model. The record is from RNAcentral.